AAUUGCAACCUGUACGGAACAGGAGGUUAAAGGUGCUGAUUCUCCAAGGAGGGAGAUUGCUAGUAAAGCGGCUGGAAUGGGGAACCCGAGCACAAGGAGAUGAGAAAUGAGGACAAAUUGCAACCUGGACGGAACAGGAGGUUAAAGGUGCUGAUUCUCCAAGGAGGGAGAUUGCUAGUAAAGCGGCUGGAAUGGGGAACCCGAGCACAAGGAGAUGAGAAAUGAGGACAAAUUGCAACCUGGACGGAACAGGAGGUUAAAGGUGCUGAUUCUCCAAGGAGGGAGAUUGCUAGUAAAGCGGCUGGAAUGGGGAACCCGAGCACAAGGAGAUGAGAA
Molecule: long non-coding RNA, 336 nt
Organism: Balaenoptera ricei (Rice's whale)
Lineage: Eukaryota; Metazoa; Chordata; Mammalia; Artiodactyla; Balaenopteridae
Exons: 3
Source: RefSeq, a predicted model, not a curated record